GGACCCGGUAGUGUUGUGCCUUGUGAAAACUGGAGGCAGGGUGCCGCGGGCCCGAGACUUAGUCUCGGGCCGCCAUGGCCAGCGUCCACGAGAGCCUGUACUUCAAUCCCAUGAUGACCAAUGGGGUGGUGCACGCCAAUGUGUUCGGCAUCAAGGACUGGGUGACGCCGUACAAGAUCGCGGUGCUGGUGCUGCUGAACGAGAUGAGCCGCACAGGCGAGGGCGCCGUCAGCCUCAUGGAGCGGCGGAGGCUCAACCAGCUGCUCUUGCCCCUGCUGCAGGGUCCAGAUAUUACACUGUCAAAACUUUACAAGUUAAUUGAAGAAUCUUGUCCACAGCUGGCUAAUUCAGUGCAGAUCAGAAUCAAACUGAUGGCUGAAGGCGAGUUGAAGGAUAUGGAACAGUUUUUUGAUGACCUUUCAGAUUCUUUCUCUGGAACUGAACCAGAGGUUCACAAAACAAGUGUAGUAGAAUUGCAGCAAACAGUCAUUGCCAUUGUGGAAUUGCCAUUGUGUAGCCUGGAUGUCAGUUAAUGCUUUCCCCUUGUCUCUGGUCUUAUUUUCAGUACUUCCAGAAUGGUGAGAAAAAGACAGUGGAGGAUGCUGAUAUGGAACUGACCAGUAGAGAUGAGGGUGAAAGAAAAAUGGAAAAAGAAGAACUUGAUGUAUCUGUAA
Molecule: small RNA, 674 nt
Filed under: Pongo abelii (Sumatran orangutan)
Lineage: Eukaryota; Metazoa; Chordata; Mammalia; Primates; Hominidae
Description: processed transcript
Source: RNAcentral